Molecule: small nuclear RNA, 289 nt
Filed under: Microtus ochrogaster (prairie vole)
Lineage: Eukaryota; Metazoa; Chordata; Mammalia; Rodentia; Cricetidae
Description: 7SK RNA (ENSMOCG00000009941.1)
Rfam family: 7SK RNA
About the family: 7SK was discovered as an abundant small nuclear RNA in the mid-70s but a possible function has only recently been suggested. Two independent studies have found that 7SK RNA binds the CDK9/cyclin T complex (known as elongation factor P-TEFb). P-TEFb activates transcription by phosphorylating the C-terminal domain of RNA polymerase II.
Source: RNAcentral
GACUGUGAAGGCAAUCUGUCCACAACAUCUGUCACCGCAAUCACUGUCAGGUUUAAUCUGGUUGCACUGGCUGGCUAAGGUAGCCCCGUCUUCCUUCAGCACUCCUGCACAUCCCUCCAGAAUGUGGGGACUUGUUGAAAAAGGACACCCUUCUGCUGGAGAAAAGAACAGUCCUCUGGUCAUGAGUACCCAAACAACUGCAGUUCCCUGGUAGGAAUCUCCAAAUAAGUUCUGAAGGAAUAGCAAAUUUGAAAAUCAUUUGUGAGACUCAAAUUCUAACAAGGCAGCU